Molecule: long non-coding RNA, 222 nt
Filed under: Elaeis guineensis (African oil palm)
Lineage: Eukaryota; Viridiplantae; Streptophyta; Magnoliopsida; Arecales; Arecaceae
Description: long non-coding RNA (EGUI_LNC053768)
Source: RNAcentral
GGGAUGGUGUCCGGCGCAAAGGUCGGACAAGGUUCAGUCCUAGCUACGGGUUCGUCUACGGUACCGGUACUAUGGGGAACUGGGGCUGACGAACUCCUAGAACUGCUAGAGGAGGAGAUAUCAGAGGACAUUUUGGAUCAGACGGAAGCCACAAAAAUCCCAAAAAAUUGGAAAAAAUAGCAGACAGGCCCCCGAGAAAGCUAAAUAAACAGAAUAUGAAGA